AACGUUCACAAAGUAGGAAUAGAACCUGAUAACCCUUGGAUAAUAAGGUUGGGCUCCCUUAUAGAUUUCUCCAGAGAUUCUACUUUCUUUGAACGAAAGGAAGAAAAAAAAUAUUUAAUUUGAUCCUAACUUGAAGAAUCCAGGUUCAACACCUCCUGAGAUACAAAAAGAGGGUGACAGUGUACCUUAAUGAUCCAAGAAGGCAUGAGGUGGAGCAGGAAAGAAAUCAAAUGCUACUUUGGUGAACAAUGAGAUCCUAGCUCUUGGGGAAGUGAGAAGCAUCUCAGUAAUCAGGGAAAUAUUUCUUUCUUCACUUGGGGUUGAGACUGUACUGUCCUCACAACCUAACAUUUGUCCUGGGGAGUUGUACAGAUGUUCUAUCUAACAGGUUCAUGAGCUAAGAAAUAAGUUUGUUUGCACUCACCCUGGUGGGCAUGCAUGGAGACAGCCUGAGGGUUCGACCAGUACCCAGUAGACAAGGCAUUUUAGAGAACUCAGCCCCUCAGGCUUAAUGUUCUCUGGAGCUUGGGUGUCACUAGAUACCCAUGAUAUUCCUGCUGCUAUUCUCAGUGACUGCUCCAGCCUGUUUAAGCGAAGGGAAAGAGGUGCUGGAACAAUCAAGUGGUGUCCUCACUGCUGGCAGGUGGGAGGGAGGGAGUGAAGGAGAGCGGUGAAGCAAGACUGCACUCCCAAGCAGUGAAGGAGAGAAGGAGGGUGAAUGAAGGAGGAGGACAACUUGGGGUCAAGAGACUGAGGCUGGAACACGUAAGAGCCCACUGGCCUUUUAAAGGACCUAAGCAAAGAAACUUCCCUUUUGGAAUCUGGGAAAAGCAUUAAUUUUCCAGACUUUAAUUUGUUGCCCUUCUUUGAUGAAAUCUCCAGAAACUUUGAUAAAAUGUUCUGUUUGUACUGCAUAGGUCUCGUACAAAAGUGUAAGGGAGUUUGAGGGAACUUUUGGUCAGGGGAGGGUGACUGUGGUCCACUGCAACCCUCCUGUGUGCUCCUGGAGAGAGGGCAUCAUCUUUUACAUGGAGGUGACCACAGCAGAAGACCAUGACCCCCAGCAGGGCCUCGGUUCCAGGCAACGCUCACAACACAUAGGAGGACCCAGAAACACUUUGUUCAGGAAGAACCACAACUCUGUACUUCAAGCAAUGGUUCUGAGCUCUGGAUGCAGAAUGAACACAAUGAGGUAUCUUAAUAAUAACAGCUAAAGAUCCACCCCAGACAAGGAAGUCACAUCACUGCAGGAGGUGCCUUGGCAUAAUAUUUAAUUUUCAAAAGCAGCUGAGAUGGGGAUGAGAACCAGAGGAUUAGAGGAAGAUGACUCCUUAAGGAUGAGGACACUCAUCUGGCUUAGAGACACAACCUGGCCUGUAGCUGAUACCGUCUGCACCUCAGGCUCCUCCCUGUAAAACAACUCAGUGUCAAUGGUAAACUCAAAUGUGAAGCUUUUCCAGUUCCUUUGGUUUUGCUCACCUGUGACGUGCACCACACCUAGCAUCGAACAUCGCAGCUGAAUAUUCAGUCCUGAGUCACCAUGACUCUGCCAUCAGCUGGUCAGGCAGAUGAGAAUUCCAGGAAGCCCGAGGCUGGCGCAUCCCCCUGCCGGGAAGGGACCUAGCCUUUGCCCUGUCUCGUGGUGUGAAUGUGCAUUCCUGGUGCUGAGAUUGCCCAGCCACCUUUACUCCCAGUCAUGCUAGAGUCUGCCAGGCUUUCCUCACCUGGAGGAGGACACAUGAGUCUUGUGGGAGGAAUUGGAUAGAAAGACACCCCCCUUUAGAGGAAGAAGGAUGGAGAAGCACAAUGAUGCCGAAAUGCUGCCUUCCAAGACUUCUUCAGCUGUAGCAACUUUCCCCACUUCCAGGCACUACCACAUGCCUGGUCAAUCCUACAGAGAGGCUGAGAGUCUCUUUGUCACCUGGUCCCCCCAUUCUGGUGGGGCUGAUCUGUCACUCUUCCGGGUGCCAGCCACUGGGCUAGUUCUUAACUUCCUUCCUUCAUUUCUUCCUUCCUUCCUCCCAGUUUCAUUCCUCCCUCCUUUUCCUCCUUCUUUCCACAAACAUAGGCAUCGAGCUAAAUAUUCAGGAAAAUAAAUGGUGCACAGGUCACAGGCUCUGGGUGGCACAGGAGUCUGUAGAGGACAGCAGACACAGGAGGCAGUUGCAUGGUGACAGACUCCAGCUCCAGGUGGGCCCAGCAGUGGAGGAGUCACAGGAGCGGCAGCCAGCCACAUUCGGGCCUGAGUGUCAGCUUCCCGGAGAAAGUGUAGUCAGAGCUGCAAGCUAAAGGGUGAACAGGGGAA
RNAcentral lists this long non-coding RNA (2305 nucleotides) under Homo sapiens (human). Its description in RNAcentral is "HSALNT0132562". Lineage: Eukaryota; Metazoa; Chordata; Mammalia; Primates; Hominidae. The record is from RNAcentral.